This is a non-coding RNA of Petromyzon marinus (sea lamprey), 4712 nucleotides long. NCBI's taxonomy places the organism in Eukaryota, Metazoa, Chordata, Hyperoartia, Petromyzontiformes, Petromyzontidae. The record is from RefSeq and is a predicted model, not a curated record.
GCCUUCAUAGGUGCUCGCUAACAGCACUUGCCCCAGCAGUCUGUUUAGGCUAUACGGGGGUGUUUGUUUGUCUUUGUUUGAACUGCUCGUGUGUAUGUGCGCGCAAUCCCUCGGGCGUCGGUGAAAUGAGUAUCAUCCUUCGGGCGUCGGUAAAAUGAGUAUCAACAAUUUAGUUUGAGGUCAGUCGAGAGAACAAAGUGGUCACUUUGUCACGCGCCGCCGUCGCCACCGUACCGUACGGGGCACUCGUUCGCUCUCGUAGAGAGACGACGAAGCACAGACGGAGGGGGGGUGAAGGAAACAUCAGCCACGUGGCGAAGAGCCCUGUAAGCCGUUCGGCUCUUGACUCGGGUGCAACCGCAACAAACAAAAACAUGAACAGGAAAACAUCUUAAAGUGUCUACGCGCAACAGAAAAAUCCAGGAAAAAACAGCAAAGUCUUCCAUAAAAAAGCACCGCAUAUCAACGCUGUGUGCAAAAAUCCCAGUGGGAUGCAAGUCAAACAAUAACAACCAUAAGACAAUUUAGAUUAAAGUUAUCCGUCUAACUCUGUACAACAACAAACACAUGGCUAAUCCAAAACGUUUUCGUGUGUUCAGACGUUGUCACCCAAGCGAGUGUGUGUUGUGUACGCGCGGGAGGGAAAACCCGGAGAUCCCGGAGCAAAGCCCACGCCUGCGAAGGGGAACAACACUCGACUCCGUACAGAUGGAACGGGGCGGAGUGCACGCUUGCUGUCCCGCGCGUCUUCUGGCGAGGCAGAGUUACGGCUCACUGACGCCUUCCUGGGAGGGUUGUUUCAUAACAUUUGUGUGAUCCACCCAACUCUCUCCACCACGGUGUUGGGUUACAGGCGUGCAUAGCCACCGUCGCCCGCGAACAAAAAAAACGCUGGCCAUGUGAGAUCGACAGUACCACGGAAUGGUUCACUGCCUCGAAACAGUAAGGCAGUUCGUCAACAUUGGUUAAAUCAGAAUGUUAAUUUAUCCUGGAGAAAUCCGUUAAGCUGUGAAGCGCUUUUUCACAGAUGUCCAGUCGGGGCGUAUCAGAAACUUACAAAAACAAUCAAUACAAAAAAACGAUCGGAGUGCAAAGUAUAGAGAACGUAAGCAAAUCCCUAAAAAAUAAAUAAAUGAACUACACUUUUUUCUUUUACCACGUAAAGCCCACAGCUAUUAUUUUUCAGAAGCGUCCUGGCCACAAAUCAUAGCUCAACGAUGUGACUUAUCGUGUGGAAAUCUAUAGCCGAUUAGACAAUGGGUGUCGAAACUGGUCCAGGGUCUGCUUGUGUUAAACCAAUGCUGCUGAACGGAUGGACUUACAGAAGGCCGUGUGGCCGCUGGGAUGUAAAAAAUACAUAUCAAAUGUACACAUCCCGUCAGCCACACAUCCAAAAUAUGGGAACGAAGCGUCUGCGUAUACAUUCUAGAGGCGGAGGAGACUGUUUUUGUCAUGCCCCCAUGAUUGCUUAGUUGUCAUGAUAUUAAUAAUCACGUUUGAAAUACAGAAACACCGAGACGCGGAGACGCCCUCUUCUCAACGGGCGCGACCUAAACCACAAUGACUUCUGCCAGUAGCACCACGCCCAGUGAGUGUCCGUGUGUAAUUCUCAAGCUCUCUACCCAACCAGGUGUGUAAUCCUGAAGCUGUAUGUAUCCAACCAGGUGUGUAAUCCAUCAAGGGUGUGUGUAGCCCACCAGGUGUGUAAUCCAUCAGGGGUGUGUGUAGUCCACCAGGUGUGUAGUCCAUCAGGUGUGUAAUCUAUCAAGGGUGUGUGUAGCCCACCAGGUGUGUAAUCCACCAAGGGUGUGUGUAGUCCACCAGGUGUGUAAUCCUCAAGCUGUGUGUAGCCCACCAGGUGUGUAAUCCAUCAAGGGUGUGUGUAGUCCACCAGGUGUGUAAUCCACAAGCUGUGUGUAGUCCACCAGGUGUGUAAUCCUCAAGCUGUGUGUAGCCCACCAGGUGUGUAAUCCAUCAAGGGUGCGUGUAGUCCACCAGGUGUGUAAUCUAUCAAGGGUGUGUGUAGUCCACCCGGUGUGUAAUCCACCAAGGGUGUGUGUAGCCCACCAGGUGUGUAAUCCACAAGCUGUGUGUUGCCCACCAGGUGUGUAAUCCAUCAAGGGUGUGUGUAGUCCACCAGGUGUGUAAUCCACAAGCUGUGUGAUCCUCAAGCUGUUUGUAGCCCACCAGGUGUGUAAUCCAUCAAGGGUGUGUGUAGUCCACCAGGUGUGUAAUCCACAAGCUGUGUGUAGUCCACCAGGUGUGUAAUCCAUCAAGGGUGUGUGUAGCCCACCAGGUGUGUAAUCCAUCAAGGGUGUGUGUAGUCCACCAGGUGUGUAAUCCACCAAGGGUGUGUGUAGUCCACCAGGUGUGUAAUCCUCAAGCUGUGUGUAGCCCACCAGGUGUGUAAUCCAUCAAGGGUGUGUAGUCCACCAGGUGUGUAAUCCACCAAGGGUGUGUGUAGUCCACCAGGUGUGUAAUCCUCAAGCUGUGUGUAGCCCACCAGGUGUGUAAUCCAUCAAGGGUGUGUGUAGUCCACCAGGUGUGUAAUCCACAAGCUGUGUGUAGUCCACCAGGUGUGUAAUCCUCAAGCUGUGUGUAGCCCACCAGGUGUGUAAUCCAUCAAGGGUGUGUGUAGUCCACCAGGUGUGUAAUCCACAAGCUGUGUGUAGUCCACCAGGUGUGUAAUCCACCAAGGGUGUGUGUAGUCCACCAGGUGUGUAAUCCUCAAGCUGUGUGUAGCCCACCAGGUGUGUAAUCCAUCAAGGGUGUGUGUAGUCCACCAGGUGUCUAAUCCAUCAAGGGUGUGUGUAAUCCACCAGGUGUGUAAUCCAUCAAGGGUGUGUGUAGUCCACCAGGUGUGUAAUCCAUCAGGGGUGUGUGUAGCCCACCAGGUGUGUAAUCCACCAGGGGUGUGUGUAGCCCACCAGAUGUGUAAUCCACAAGCUGUGUGUAGCCCACCAGGUGUGUAAUCCACCAAGGGUGUGUGUAGUCCACCAGGUGUGUAAUCCAUCAAGGGUGUGUAGUCCACCAGGUGUGUAAUCCAUCAAGGGUGUGUAGUCCACCAGGUGUGUAAUCCAUCAAGGGUGUGUGUAGUCCACCAGGUGUGUAAUCCAUCAGGGGUGUGUGUAGCCCACCAUGUGUGUAAUCCACCAGGGGUGUGUGUAGCCCACCAGGUGUGUAAUCCAUCAAGGGUGUGUGUAGUCCACCAGGUGUGUAAUCUAUCAGGGGUGUGUGUAGCCCACCAGGUGUGUAAUCCACCAGGGGUGUGUGUAGUCCACCAGGUGUGUAAUCCACCAGGGGUGUGUGUAGUCCACCAGGUGUGUAAUCCUCAAGCUGUGUGUAGCCCAGCAGGUGUGUGGGUAGCCCACCAGCCCAUCAGGGCGUGUGUGUGUACCGGCGCAUUCAAUCCAUGAGGAGCGUGCGAGAUGUGUCUCUAGUUGCGCAAGUGGAUGAAGCAGCAGGCGUUGUUGACUUUCGUUUGACUUUCGCGGCACACUCCACUGGAGACGAAUUGGUUCACUGAUUAUGAGACCCGAAUAUUUGUAAGGGUUUAGCGCGAGACCCAACGCAAAUGUAGAACUUCAGACUGACCUUGCCCUGAGUGAAACCAUUUACUGCUCUUGGUCGUAAUUCUUGAGUACCCCAAAAUUUAGUUUUACGAUUGUCUCGUUAUGAGCAGAGACUCACCAAUGGGUAUGUGUGCCACAUCUCAGUGAUGGCCUUUCUACAACACUCUUAAGAUUCACAUCACACACCCGGCUACGAACCAUGCCCCGGAACAAGGCUGACAUCAUCAGCACGCUAAUCGGGGUUUUAACCCUGGAUAGUGCUGGGUCAGGAGACCACCGUGCAUAACAGGUGCUAUAGGUUGCGGAGCCAACUUGUGAACCAGCAAAGGGCGGUGUAGCAACAUCCUCUGCUGGGCUGUGUUUCAAUGCUCCCACGUCGAUGCUACCCACCUUUGCCAACCCGCUCUGACCAGCGUGGUGAAUUAUGGUUAAAUACCCCCCCGCCACAGCCCCCGAGGACCAGCACGGAGUGAGGUAGGCUCUCAUCCAGCAGUAGAGAAAAGGCUGUUCACGAUAUGCGCACUCGAUGACCAGCCACAUAUGUUUAAUAUUCGCAAUCGCAACAUCCCUGGUGUGGAUGGGCACUACUUAAAUGACACGUUAUUUAAAUUACAUGUAAAUUAAUUGCAUUAGUAAUUCGAAAUUGUUAUGUAAAUUACGAAAAUCAAAGUCAUUGGUGAUUGUAUAUGCAUUACACGAGAUACGGUUAAUGUAAUUAUACUUCCUUCAGUAAUUUGUAAGGUCUAUGUAUUUUACCCAUCCUCUUAAAUGCAUCGAGAUAUGUAUGUAAUGCAUCCGAUAGGUUGUCCGCCGGGGAGAUGGAGCGAUGAAAUUAGUCCGUAUGCAGGUGCUUGGAUGGAUCAUGGAUUAUUGCAUCGCAGCAUCGCGAGUUUCUGGCGGCUUCGGCAGGCUUUCAUCCAUCGGUGGACUGACCAUGGCUGAUAGUGACGACGCAUUAUAUACGUAAGCUCGCUUGGCGAUUUAAGAAAUAAUGCUGUUACAGUAUUUAAUUGCUGCACUUUAUUUAUUUUGUUUUUUUUGCUUUUGUAAUGUUGGUGACCCAGGUCACUCUCGCAACUUGGACUCAUCCUGGUACCCGUGAGUCCUCGCCUGGUUACACAAAUAAACUUGAAACCUGAA